GCACAAGCGGUGGAUGAUGUGGUUUAAUUCGAUGCAACGCGAAAACCUUACCCACCUUUGACAUGGCAGGAAUCCCGAAGAGAUUUGGGAGUGCUCGAAAGAGAACCUGCACACAGGUGCUGCAUGGCUGUCGUCAGCUCGUGUCGUGAGAUGUUGGGUUAAGUCCCGCAACGAGCGCAACCCUUGCCAUUAGUUGCUACGAAAGGGCACUCUAAUGGGACUGCCGGUGACAAACCGGAGGAAGGUGGGGAUGACGUCAAGUCCUCAUGGCCCUUAUAGGUGGGGCUACACACGUCAUACAAUGGCCGGUACAGAGGGUAGCCAACCCGCGAGGGGGAGCCAAUCCCACAAAGCCGGUCGUAGUCCGGAUCGCAGUCUGCAACUCGACUGCGUGAAGUCGGAAUCGCUAGUAAUCGUGGAUCAGCAUGUCACGGUGAAUACGUUCCCGGGUCUU
RNAcentral lists this ribosomal RNA (454 nucleotides) under uncultured Allobrachymonas sp. RNAcentral's name for it is "bacterial SSU rRNA". It matches the Rfam family "Bacterial small subunit ribosomal RNA", at positions 923 to 1382 of the family's 1533-position model. The record is from RNAcentral. Lineage: Bacteria; Pseudomonadati; Pseudomonadota; Betaproteobacteria; Burkholderiales; Comamonadaceae.